AUGGACCUGGGUGCCAGCCACGUGUCCUGGGUGGGGGCUCGGCACCCCAAAGCCCCCCACCAGCAGCUGGGGCUGCGUCCUGCCCCCAGUGGGGUUGCCCCGCUCCAAGCCCCCGGGGCUGAGCCCCCCCGGGUCCCCUUCAAAUCAAGGGGGGGACACCCCCACAGACCACCAGCACCCCCCCGGUACCCCUGCAGCACGCAGCCCACCCGCUGCACCGCGCCCCCCGCGCCCCCCGCACACCCCAGCCCCCGGUGCCGGUGUCCCCCGGGGGGGGGGUCCCCAUCAGCCGGGACCCCCGGGAUGCCCAAUCCCACCCGGUGCCCGGUGCCCCGGUACCUGCAGCCAGCAGGGCAGCGGCGCAGCAGAGCAGCAGGCGGAGCCCCCCCCGGGCCAUGCCGCUGCCGCCGCCGCCGCCCCGGUUCCCGGUGCCGGUUCCCGGUGCCCGGUGCCCGGUUCCCGGUGCCCGGUGCCCGGUUCCCCGUUGCCGCUCCGCCGCCUCCCGCCGCCGCCUUUAUCCGCCCCGGGGUGGGGGGGACGGCGGCGCCCCCUGCCGGUCCCGGGUCGCCCCGAAGCACCGGGGGUGUCCCCGUGUCCCCCCCCCUCCCCGUGCCUCAGUUUCCCCAUCUCCGGGGUCCCGCAGCCUUGGGUGGAUGCGGAGCGGGGGGGAACGGGGAGGGGGCACGGGGCAGGGGGGCUCGGGGAGGAGGGGUGGGGACAUGGGGAGGGGGUUAUGGGGGGUUGGGGAUGUGGCUGGGGGGUGUGGGGACAUGGGGAUUUGGGGACACAAGCAUGUGGGGACGUGGGGACAGGGGAGAAUGGGGGCAUGGGGAGGUGACUGGGGGACAUGGGGUUGUAGGGACACGGGCAGGGGGAUUUGGGGACAUGGGGACAUGUGAGAAUGGGGGCGUGGGGACAUGGCUGGGGGACAUGGGGUGUGGGUACAUGGACACGGGGUUGAUGGGGACAUGGGGAUGCAGGGCAUGGGGACACAGGAGCAUGGGGAUUUAG
This 1011-nucleotide long non-coding RNA is filed under the name Anas platyrhynchos platyrhynchos (common mallard). Its description in RNAcentral is "lncRNA (ENSAPLG00000024463.1)". The record is from RNAcentral. Lineage: Eukaryota; Metazoa; Chordata; Aves; Anseriformes; Anatidae.